Molecule: non-coding RNA, 77 nt
Organism: Rhineura floridana
Lineage: Eukaryota; Metazoa; Chordata; Lepidosauria; Squamata; Rhineuridae
Source: the annotation of a RefSeq genome assembly
GGAAAGGUGUAGCUCACUGUUGGUUGAGCAUCUGCUUUGGAAGCAGAAGGUCUCAGGUUCAAGUCCUGGUACCUCCA